This 227-nucleotide unclassified non-coding RNA is filed under the name uncultured fungus. Its description in RNAcentral is "sequence contains ITS1, 5.8S rRNA gene". The stretch from base 179 to 227 matches the Rfam family "5.8S ribosomal RNA", at positions 1 to 49 of the family's 154-position model. The record is from RNAcentral. Lineage: Eukaryota; Fungi.
UCUCCGUAGGUGAACCUGCGGAGGUAUCAUUACCGAGUGAGGGCUCACGCCCGACCUCCAACCCUUUGUAAUCCGUACCAUGUUGCCUCGGGGGCGACCCUGCCGCUUCGGCGGUGCGGCGCCCCCGGAGGCCAUUAAACACUGCAUCAUUGCGUCGGAGUUAAAGUAAAUUAAACAAAACUUUCAACAACGGAUCUCUUGGUUCCAGCAUCGAUGAAGAACGCAGC